AUUUUAUUAAAAGUAUUUACAAAGCCAUAUCCAGACUCCAGAUCCGGCUGCCAACAAGACCCUGUUACACUAUGGGCACUGGCCGUGGCAUGGCAGGUGCCUUUUUCUUAAUUACACCCAGAGAGCACAGGAAAGUGGAUGCCAGCGAUAUUUAUUUUCUGCUCUGAGCCCGACACAGGCCAGAGCGGCAAGAAGGAUGAAAGGAAGUGGAUGAGGAAGUCCUUGAAGUAAUAAAAUGAAAGCAGCCCUGAUUGGCCUCAUUUAGAGCAGUGCAGAGGAGGAAGAGCAGAGAGUCACAUGAAGCCGGUCUCCAGGGCCAGGCUGCUCCCCCUCCUCUAGCAUUGGCAGGCGACCGUGGGGAGAACUAUUGGAACCCCCUACAACUCCAUCAAUUGGGAAAGGGGCAUGGCACUCGCCCGCCCUCCUUCAGGGCACAGGAAGUCGGGAAGAUAUAGCUGGAGGAAAACAAAGAGAAGGGGAGUCAGUCCGAGAUGCAGAUGGUGAGGCUAUCAGAGAAAUAAUGACUGGUACAAGGAGAGACAGAAGGUGGGGAGCAAGGUGGAGAGGUCCCAAGAAAGGGACAGGGAGCUGACCAUCUCCUCUUCUGCACCCUCCCUCACCUGCUCUGACUACCUCCCCCAGCAGGUCCCCUGCAUGGACACAUCCACACAUAACUCUGCCUUGUGGGUCCUGGCUGACACAGGGACAUCCUGGGCUUCUAACUCUGAGGAAGAAAGGGACCUGUAUGUGGACAGAAAGGACCUUGCCUCUGAUGUGAAAGUCUUGUACUGCCCUCAAAUGUCAAAGAGCCAGGCUGGGAGGGGGGUCCUUGGGAACAGACCACCGCCUCACUCGGAAGCCAGCAGCCAGAACAGACAUCUAGCGAGGACCCAGCCUCCUCCAUGCACCUGGGCGCCCACACUGGCUGGUUCACGGAUGUGUCUCUGGGCUCUGCUGCACCUGUCCCCACAGGACGGCCCUCAAGAUAAGUAAAAAAGCCUCUGCUGACUGUGCAUGCCAGUGUCCAGACUCCAGGGUCUAUUUUUAGAAUGUAGGACAACUUUCUCCCAGAAUAGACAAGACACGCUAAUCCAGGAGGGAGGCCUGGGAGAGAUGAAGACAUCGAGUCUAGAUAUGAAUUAGCCGUGAGUAUAUUAUUUGAAGAAAUGUUGAACAGCUAGGCAAAUAUUUGAUACCUUUGAAUUGGAGCCGGCGUUUUCACAGGCAGAGCGGCAGCGGCUGCUUGAGAAGUCCCCCUCCCUGCUGGCGUACCUGGCUGUCACGCCCGGUUCUAUAGGCCCCUUCUUCCUGCCUCCUGAGAAGUAAUUAAAGCUCUGUGCCUGGCGAAAGGUGCGUGAGACACGCCUCACUCACACCCCAAACCCGAGUCUCGGGGACAGUGCCUCAUGCGUGAAUGAAUCCAAACGGCUCUUUCGCUUUUUAAGGAAAGUUUCUUUUCCUUAAUUACUCCACCACAUUACUAAAGGGAUGAGGCAUCUACUUCAGUGAGGCCUUUGUGGAAGGGGGUCAGAAAUCAUGACCCCUGAUUUGGACCCCCUGGUCUGUGACCCCUGGGAGGGAGUGAAGAAGAGCCACCCAGACGCCCGUAGCUCAGGAAAUAGGCCCUGUCCACAAGGCUGCAGACAGAGCGUCCGGUUUUCCAGCAGCCGCUGGGAGAGUCUUUUCGUUCUAACAGAGAAUUAACCUCUGGGCGCUUAGGAGGCGGAAGGCCCAGCGGACCUUUGACACCAGGUGCACCUGUCUGCAUAGAGGUGGCUCGGCUCCCUCUUUACCCUUGUUACCUUAUACCUGAGUGGGAGGUGGGCAUUGGCACCCCCGGUUUACCGAAAAUCCCUGAUAUGGCCAACGUUGAGCACUGGUGAGAGGGUGAGAGAGUGGGAGACAGAGAGAGAGAGAGAGAGGGAGGGAAGAGGGAGUCUGAGUAGCUGAGAAGCAGUUUAGGAUUUUUUUUUUAAUUUAUGUAAACUCAAGU
RNAcentral lists this long non-coding RNA (1993 nucleotides) under Felis catus (domestic cat). Its description in RNAcentral is "lncRNA (ENSFCAG00000048146.1)". Lineage: Eukaryota; Metazoa; Chordata; Mammalia; Carnivora; Felidae. The record is from RNAcentral.